UACGGGGGGUGCGAGCGUUGUCCGGAAUCACUGGGCGUAAAGGGCGCGUAGGUGGCUUGGUAAGCGUGUGGUGAAAGCCCGGGGCUCAACCCCGGGUCUGCCAUGCGAACUGCUAUGGCUUGAGCACUGUAGAGGCAGGUAGAAUUCCGGGUGUAGCGGUGGAAUGCGUAGAGAUCCGGAAGAAUACCGGUGGCGAAGGCGGCCUGCUGGGCAGUGGCUGACACUGAGGCGCGACAGCGUGGGGAGCAAACAGG
RNAcentral lists this ribosomal RNA (254 nucleotides) under uncultured bacterium. Its description in RNAcentral is "partial 16S ribosomal RNA". It matches the Rfam family "Bacterial small subunit ribosomal RNA", at positions 524 to 776 of the family's 1533-position model. The record is from RNAcentral.